GUCAGCCUCUUCAGGCUAUGAGAAAAUUGGUUCAGUUGGUGUAAAACCUCUGGGAAUUGAUGGCCAGAUAUCCAAAUGCCACAUCUUUGCAUGCCCUGAUGGAAGGGCAGCACCAGGGGCUCUGGGUGCAGUCUGGUGGAAGCUGAGCAGGCAGCACCUCCCCAGCCAGGUUUGUAAGGGUGGCUUAAUUCCCAAGGAGUUCAGUGGUGCUGCCUGAGGAGAAAAGUUACAAAAAGAAAAGAAGUUCAGAGGGUGCUGGUGCUGUUGAAGCAGUAACACCACAUGAUACAAAACUGAGUAAGAGCAGCCAAAGUAGGGAACUACAGCUCGGGGUAAAUUUAAAGCUUGUUGAUUUCUUUGGUGCUGCCCAGGGAAGCUGCAAUUCCUUAAAAGAUAACCAAACCAAAACCCAACCAAACUUCAGUAACUGUAUUAUUACACAGCUGAUGGAAACUGCUUUUCUUUGUCGCUGCUCACCAACCAUGGAACUGCUGUCCAGACAUUCCCAGGCUCAGUUUUGGAGCAGAAAGCCACUGGAUAAAAUGGUCUUGGCACAGCAUUCAGGCUAGACUGAAAAUCUGUGGGUGCCCUGGGCAGACCCAGGCACCGUUAAAUGGUCACCCCUUGUUUCCCGCCUGGCAUCACCUCUGGAUCCUGUUAUUCCUCUGCCAGAUGGAGGAGCCCAUUAGCUGUGAUAGGCCAAUCAAAGAGCUCUAAUUGAUCUAGUGAUGUGGUUACUGGUGAUGACAAGGAGAUGAACUUGAUGACCCGGGAGGUCCUUUCCACUUUUGUGCUCUGUGGAGGCUAAUGCCAGAGUGAAUCACAGAUAUUUCUGUCCUGCAUCUUUGGAACCAGGCUCCAUGGCAUCUCCAGCUGUGCUUGGCAAGGCUAAGUGUGUUCCCUAAAAUCAGCACUCCAGCCAACAGCACAUGGACAAAACAUGUCCACGAUGGAUACAAGACAAAAAUAGCAUUUGGGCCCUGAGUGUUGUUUGCUGUGUCUAAUCCUGAGCCAGUGACAGGAGAACAGACCUGGACAGGCAAUAACUGAGCCAAGGAUGAACCUCUGCACUGAAGGUGGGACAGGCAGCAGCAGGG
This is a long non-coding RNA of Zonotrichia leucophrys gambelii, 1097 nucleotides long. RefSeq lists it as uncharacterized. The transcript has 3 exons. The record is from RefSeq and is a predicted model, not a curated record. NCBI's taxonomy places the organism in Eukaryota, Metazoa, Chordata, Aves, Passeriformes, Passerellidae.